AAUUCAAAUGAUUCUAUCAUAAGGUUGCAACAUAACAAAAUGGGAAAAAAGUGAAAAAGUCUGAAUACUUUCUGCAUGCACGAAAUAUGUGGUGGCAGUUUUUUUCUGAUUCAUUUUCACAUUACCCUUUUCAACACUGAUAAUAGCUAAUUACACGAAACUUUCUUAUAUUUUUCAGCUCAAUAAGGAUUGGAACAACAUUGACGGGGGGAAACACCCAAAGUCCAUCACUCAUGCACCGAGGAUCUGGCUGAUUACUGGAAAUUUGGAAGAUUGUUCUUUAUCUGCACUGUCACUUCUGUUAUUAAGGAGCAGUGGGCUGCAGUGAUGCGACCAGGAAGCAACUGGG
Long non-coding RNA from Pseudoliparis swirei, 349 nucleotides. RefSeq lists it as uncharacterized. The transcript has 3 exons. NCBI's taxonomy places the organism in Eukaryota, Metazoa, Chordata, Actinopteri, Perciformes, Liparidae. The record is from RefSeq and is a predicted model, not a curated record.